GGAAGUAAAAGUCGCAACAAGGUUUCCGUAGGUGAACCUGCGGAAGGAUCAUUAGUGAAUUAUAGGGCGUCUACUUCGGUAGAGCCUGACCUCCACUUUCUAACUCUGUGCACUCAUUUGGCGGAAUACGGAACAGUAAUCGUCUACCGACGAUUAGGACUUCUGCUUUCUGCGGCUUACUUUAAAACACUAGUCAAAGUAUGUAACGAAAUAUCGAAAUAAAAAAAACUUUCAACAACGGAUCUCUUGGCUCUC
This 255-nucleotide unclassified non-coding RNA is filed under the name plant metagenome. RNAcentral describes it as "partial contains small subunit ribosomal RNA, internal transcribed spacer 1, and 5.8S ribosomal RNA". The stretch from base 1 to 54 matches the Rfam family "Eukaryotic small subunit ribosomal RNA", at positions 1778 to 1831 of the family's 1831-position model. The record is from RNAcentral.